GACGAACGCUGGCGGCGUGCUUAACACAUGCAAGUCGAACGGAAAGGCCCUGCUUUUGUGGGGUGCUCGAGUGGCGAACGGGUGAGUAACACGUGAGUAACCUGCCCUUGACUUUGGGAUAACUUCAGGAAACUGGGGCUAAUACCGGAUAGGAGCUCCUGCUGCAUGGUGGGGGUUGGAAAGUUUCGGCGGUUGGGGAUGGACUCGCGGCUUAUCAGCUUGUUGGUGGGGUAGUGGCUUACCAAGGCUUUGACGGGUAGCCGGCCUGAGAGGGUGACCGGCCACAUUGGGACUGAGAUACGGCCCAGACUCCUACGGGAGGCAGCAGUGGGGAAUAUUGCACAAUGGGCGGAAGCCUGAUGCAGCAACGCCGCGUGCGGGAUGACGGCCUUCGGGUUGUAAACCGCUUUCGCCUAUGACGAAGCGUGAGUGACGGUAAUGGGUAAAGAAGCACCGGCUAACUACGU
RNAcentral lists this ribosomal RNA (467 nucleotides) under uncultured bacterium. Its description in RNAcentral is "partial 16S ribosomal RNA". It matches the Rfam family "Bacterial small subunit ribosomal RNA", at positions 28 to 506 of the family's 1533-position model. The record is from RNAcentral.